This 1016-nucleotide long non-coding RNA is filed under the name Mus spicilegus (steppe mouse). RNAcentral describes it as "lncRNA (ENSMSIG00000010849.1)". Lineage: Eukaryota; Metazoa; Chordata; Mammalia; Rodentia; Muridae. The record is from RNAcentral.
GUCUCAUGGUAGGCUGACGAUCACUGGCUGGUCCAAGCUGGCCUCAUUUGGACGAUCACUUCUGCUCUGCAUGUCAUUGCCUUUGUCAACAGCCACCCUGAGAGUUGCCAUGUGACAAUGGUAUAGGUGGGAGAGAGAGAAAAGAAUCACCAACCACUCCUGAAGGAUCAGCUUGGAAACUGGCUCCCUGUCAUCUCUUCUGGAGAUACCCAAGUGCUUGAGGUGAAAAGCUUGAAACCAGAGCAACCUUCAGGACUCGGAGGAGGAAGAUGUUGGCAGGGAAGGCUUGUCACCUCAGCAGACCCCAGGGUGCAGGAGUCUACACCAGUUUUUGGAAAUUGCCCCGGGGAAGAAAGGUGCUCUAAUCGAUCAUUCAGUUGUAGAAAUACGAGUUCCUUAUUUACAAAGACAGAAGAAUGAAGACUUGUCCCCCAUCUCCCAGCACCUCAACUGUCAACUGAUGAAUCCGAGCUCAUUUGCUGAAGGGAAAAACCAACCAGUGAAUCUCAACUCCAUCCUUCUACCACUCGGGCCUUAACUCUAGUGCCAGACAAGAGAAAGGGAAAAAUUCUUGGAACCUCUAGAGCUAGCCACACUUGAAAAAGAGAAGAGCUAGAUGUCUUUUGAACAAUCCUGUCUGCUUCACCAGUAGGACUGCUCUGUAUCAGUGCCUAAGUUCCUCCCUAUGGGGUCUCCUUCUUGUCUUAGAGUCGGUUAAGGGGAAUCCCCAAUGCCUUUCUCCCUGUUGCUCAUGAAGGACACUGCUGGUUGACCACAGCUCUUUCCCAUGCUGCCCAGAGCUCUGGACAACAGUCACAUCUUUGCCAUUAUGGAACUAGCUAGCAAUCAUGCCUCAUGCUGUCACCUGUAAGAAGGGAGAGUAUUUACUCCCAUAGCCCAUGAACAGAGUCUACAGCUGUGGACUGUCCAGAGACCAGAUAACCAGUGAUUCAGAAGCCUGGCUGCAGAUCUGGUCGCUUGAAUAAAAAUGGCCCACGUGCCUAGAGGGAGUGGCA